UUUACAACUGACAGUCUGUGUACUGAUAACGCAACUUUAGCAGUAAAAAAACUUCUCUGGUCUACUAUACUGCGUACAUGUGACUUUAAGAUUAUUUGCAGUGCAGGUAAGUUCAAUAAAAUUACCGUUUUUUUUCUGAUUUUUUUUUUACCCAAACUGGCCUAUUAAUUUAAGUUUAAGAAAUAGCACCUCACUUAACCCAAACUCGAUAAGACACAAGUCAAACAGAUUUACGAACUAAUUUCCAUACUCAGUGGUGGAUCCAUAAAUUUUGAUAAAAAAGGGGGGUGCAUAUAUAUUGCAUGACUGCCUAAGGUUAUAAUUAAGGCUUUUAACUAUAUAUUGGGUAGGUAAGUGGUAAACACUUAGUUGUCGUCUUCUUCUAUAUGUAUAUCCUUCCAAUUAUGGAACUCCUCCUCAACGGAUAUUUGUCUUCAUAUUCUAUUUACAUGCAUGUGGAGUUUAGAGAAAUAGAAUUUAUUUUAUCAGCUUUGAACAGCCAUCUUUUAUUUCAUGUUUAGCCUAAACAUUAAUGACAUUAGAAUUACUACAAACUUUUAAGCUACAUGUGAAAAACUAUUUAAAGUUAUAAUUCUAUUGUGUAUAUAAAUAUUAUUAACCAAACAAUACUACAUUUAUAAAAUGAGAUAUUUUCCAUCAAUUGAAUAAUUUGAUUUAUGUUUUAGGGAUACAACAAGUAUGCAAGUCCCUAGAUAUAAAUGAACAGAGAAAAUUAUUGAGGAGAUCAUUGGGGAAAAAACUUAACAAAGGAAAUGUACUUUUCUAUAAGGAGGAGAAGUGAAAGAAGCAGGUAUUAUAUACUUGAUUAACUUAAUUUGGCUGUAACAAUCAAACCAUUGAGAUAAAUGUCUAUAUAUUUCAAUAAAUCAGCACGUAAACAAACAACAAAAUCAGUAGAGGCAUCUGUUAGUUAAUACAAAGACAUCAAUAUAAGUGUCAAUACAAAUGUCAAAACAAAUGUCAAAAAAAGAGGAAGUGGUAUGAUUACCAAUGAGACAACUCUACUCAAGAGACCAAAGGAUACAGGCAUUAAUAACUAUUGAUUUGGCCUUCAACGAUGAGUAAAACCUGUAAUGCAUAGUCAUCUUUAAGUUUAAUAAAUAUAUAAAAUACCACAGAAUGACAAAUAUGUAAAAUAAUUUGACUGUUUGAAUAUUAUGUACAUGUAUCAUAGAUAGCCAAAAAAUCUGUUUUUAAAAAUGACAAAAAGUGACUGGCGGUUAGAGAUAUAAAUAAAGGCUAUAUAUAUUAACUUGUCCAUGCAACCUCAUUAUGUACAUAAGGAGGCCCAAGAGUACUAGUAUGAUUGUUUUUGUCUCAUCAUCCAUCCCAAAAUUUUCUUCAGUGUUACUGAUAACUUUGUAUCAGGCAGGCUUGUCAUUUAAUGUAUAUACAUUGCACAUUAUAUAUUUAUUUUAUAUAAAGGUCUACCGGUAUGCAGUUUUUAAAAAUUUUUUGGGGUAUGGUAAAUAUCUUGCAUUCAUUGAACCUCCAAAAAUUAUUUUUCCAUCCUCAUUUGUUUUUCAUUACUUUAUUUUCGAAUCCCUUAAAUAAAGUUUUUAUUCUUAUAUUAUUCAUGAUAUAUUUAUAAAACCUUGAUUUUUUGCAACCAUAUUAUGGUAUGGCAUCGUCGUCUGAAGACUUUUGUUUCCAGGCAAUAACUUUAGUAACUAAAUGGAUCUUUAUGAAAUUGUACCACAUGGUUCCAUACCCCAAAAGGAGGUUGGGUAGGAGUUAUGGCUUAAAAGUUUAUACACAAGGGGCCAAAAACAAUACUUCUUUUCUUGACCAAUAUAACUUUUCUUAUGUUUGUAGGGAAAAUUGGCGGAGUGUAACAUCUAUUAGGAAUAAAAAGAGGAAAUAAGUGUCUGAAGCAGUAAAUCAUUAUGACUGAAAAAAGAAGAUAUCAGAAUAUGAAAUGAGUUUAUUUCAGUUAAAAAGACUUGCUACAGAAUGUUCCUCUUGUAAUUUUAUUGAAGACCAGACCAUUGUCAACUUUAAGUAAAGGAAGAUAAUAAAACAUUGAAGAGGAAAUGAAGGAAAAGACUUAAUCAUCAAAGAGCAUAACAAAGCAUAAUUCAGAAUAACUCAUGUGAAGGAAUAAUAUUGUACAGUAAA
RNAcentral lists this long non-coding RNA (2139 nucleotides) under Mytilus galloprovincialis (Mediterranean mussel). The record is from RNAcentral. Lineage: Eukaryota; Metazoa; Mollusca; Bivalvia; Mytilida; Mytilidae.